CCUACGGGUGGCAGCAGUGAGGAAUAUUGGUCAAUGGGCGAGAGCCUGAACCAGCCAAGUCGCGUGAAGGAUGACGGCCCUACGGGCUGUAAACUUCUUUUGUCAGGGAGCAAUUUGGUCCACGCGUGGGCUUAGCGAGAGUACCUGAAGAAAAAGCAUCGGCUAACUCCGUGCCAGCAGCCGCGGUAAUACGGAGGAUGCGAGCGUUAUCCGGAUUUAUGGGGUUUAAAGGGUGCGUAGGCGGAAUAGCAAGUCAGCGGUAAAAAUUCGGGGCUCAACCCCGUCGUGCCGUUGAAACUGAUGUUCUUGAGUGGGCGAGAAGUAUGCGGAAUGCGUGGUGUAGCGGUGAAAUGCAUAGAUAUCACGCAGAACUCCGAUUGCGAAGGCAGCAUACCGGCGCCCAACUGACGCUGAAGCACGAAAGCGUGGGUAUCGAACAGGAUUAGAUACCCUAGUAGUC
This 460-nucleotide ribosomal RNA is filed under the name uncultured bacterium. RNAcentral's name for it is "partial 16S ribosomal RNA". It matches the Rfam family "Bacterial small subunit ribosomal RNA", at positions 338 to 795 of the family's 1533-position model. The record is from RNAcentral.